GAGAUCGCAUGAUUUUCAUAUCAAAGAUUUAUCGCUGUAAGAUGAGCUCGCGUCUGAUUAGAUAGUUGGUGAGGUAACGGCUCACCAAGUCUACGAUCAGUAGCCGAACUGAGAGGUUGAUUGGCCACAUUGGGACUGAGACACGGCCCAGACUCCUACGGGAGGCAGCAGUGGGGAAUAUUGCACAAUGGGGGAAACCCUGAUGCAGCAACGCCGCGUGAGGGAAGAAGGCUUUCGGGUUGUAAACCUCUGUCUUUGAGGAUGAUAAUGACAGUACUCAAAGAGGAAGCUCCGGCUAACUACGUGCCAGCAGCCGCGGUAAUACGUAGGGAGCGAGCGUUGUCCGGAAUUACUGGGUGUAAAGGGAGCGUAGGCGGAUUUGCAAGUUGAAUGUGAAAUUUGUGGGCUUAACCCAUAAACUGCGUUCAAAACUGUAGAUCUUGAGUGAAGUAGAGGCAAAUGGAAUUCCUAGUGUAGCGGUGAAAUGCAUAGAUAUUAGGAGGAACACCAGUGGCGAAAGCGAUUUGCUGGGCUUUAACUGACGCUGAGGCUCGAAAGCAUGGGGAGCAAACAGGAUUAG
RNAcentral lists this ribosomal RNA (580 nucleotides) under uncultured rumen bacterium. Its description in RNAcentral is "bacterial SSU rRNA". It matches the Rfam family "Bacterial small subunit ribosomal RNA", at positions 182 to 781 of the family's 1533-position model. The record is from RNAcentral.